CAAAAUAUAGUUUAAUGAAAAUUUUAAUUUUGGGAAUUAAUGAUGCUUUUUUAGUUAUUUUGA
RNAcentral lists this transfer RNA (63 nucleotides) under Pliocardia sp. A3710_17_S18. RNAcentral's name for it is "tRNA-Pro". The record is from RNAcentral. Lineage: Eukaryota; Metazoa; Mollusca; Bivalvia; Venerida; Vesicomyidae.